Molecule: long non-coding RNA, 1540 nt
Organism: Coturnix japonica (Japanese quail)
Lineage: Eukaryota; Metazoa; Chordata; Aves; Galliformes; Phasianidae
Source: RefSeq, a predicted model, not a curated record
UGUCAAGAUCUCUGUGCAAGGCCUCUCUUCUACUGAAGGAGUUAACAGCUCCUCCUAAAUUAGUAUUGUCUGCAAACUUAAUUAAGAUGCAUUUGACUUCUGUAUCUAGAUCACUUACAAAAAACAUUGAAUAGAACAGAGCCUUGGAGAGCCUUAUCAGUGGCCAGCAGCCAGCCUGAUGUAACCUCAUCUACUAUAACCCCUUGAGUCCAACCCAUCAGCCAGCUGUUUACCCAUUGUACCUUUAUAGCUGUAUGCUGCACGUUUUAUCCAAAAGGAUAUACUGAGAGGAAAGCUCUCCUGAAGAGCUCUUUGAGAAGAGAAUCACUGAGGAACCUGUUACACAGUCUCUGAGAACACUGAUCAGCGCUAGCUGGGUUGGACCAUAUCAGGGACCCUCCUGAAAAAAAGAGUCUUUCUUGAUAAUGGAAAGAACAAUAAAUAUUGCAAGAGCUGAAAGUCAGUUUGCAAACUGCAGUGUGAAUGACACAUAGCAUCAGCUGGAUAGUUCACAGACUUCAUAGCACAUGGAUUACUUGAGAGCAUCUCCUGGAUGGCAACGACAGGAAACUGAUCUGUAGACAAAAGUGCACAGGCAAGAAAUGUUGAUCAGGAAGCAUAAUUAAUUGCAGUCAGAGAGUUGUUGCUUUGCUCAAAAGUUUACUCAGACUAUUUUAAUAUUUUUCUUUUUUCACCCAUCCACAUUUUGCACUUUCCCACUAGGGAGCUCUUCUGGGGUAACAGGUCAUUUCUAGGUUCCUUGGGUAAACUGAGAAGGAAGAAGUCUUUUCUCAGCUUGUACAGCUUUGUUUGUGGAAAAGCAUUUGUACUGGUGGAAAAGCAUUUGUACUGACAGAUCUUCAGUGCUUACUGCUUCUUGCUCUACAGAAAUACUUAACCUUUAAAUGGAAUUUGCUUACACAUCUAAAUAUAGUUUUUAUUCAGCAGUGGCUUUGCAAUUUCCAUAGGUUUGUUUGGUGUUUUUCCUUCUGUGAUGAUAUAUUCUGCAGAAAUAGCUUUCUAGGAAUUUGACAUUAUUAACAUGCUGCAUUGAACUUAGAGAGCAUUUAAUGGUUUGAUGAUGCAAAUUUAAGAAUGUCCUUUUGGUUUAUUUAACAUUUGCUGUGCAUACAGAAUCUUGUUUCAUUGUCUUUAAAAUUAAAUUAUAUGCUGUAUGUUUUUUCUAUUAUUAUUAUUGUUGGCUCCCACUGGUAGAGGACUAGAUUGAAUCUGGCUUUUAUUUGGCAGUUAUGUAGAACUCUAUAUUCAUGCCCAGUUGAUUUUUUCAUUAAUUCUUUUGUGAGUUGGUUUGCUCACACACAUACAAAUUUCCAGCUGCUUCCUGAGAAACUGGUAGAGAGUAGACAGAACAGAUAAGCCUCUUGCAACUUGUUAUUUUGGGGCUGCUUUUCAGCAGAUGUUUUACUCAUAUCAAUAAAUGACAAAUGUAUUAACAAUUCAAAGAAAAAGAUUCCUUUUCUCCUCAUUCACAACAUACAGUCUCAAAUAAUAAAAUGAUGUGUAUGGUUUAAUAAACAUG